Molecule: ribosomal RNA, 1197 nt
Filed under: Mediterraneibacter gnavus
Lineage: Bacteria; Bacillati; Bacillota; Clostridia; Lachnospirales; Lachnospiraceae
Description: partial 23S ribosomal RNA
Rfam family: Bacterial large subunit ribosomal RNA
Source: RNAcentral
UUGGUUAUGCUAAUAAGAGCGUAUGGUGGAUGCCUUGGCACUAAGAGCCGAUGAAAGACGUGAUAAGCUGCGAAAAGCUUCGGGGAGGAGCAAAUAUCCUGAGAUCCGGAGAUAUCUGAAUGGGGAAACCUACUUGAGAAGACCUCAAGUAUCCACAGCCCAAUCCAUAAGCUGUGGAAGGGAACCCGGUGAACUGAAACAUCUAAGUAGCCGGAGGAAGAGAAAACAACAUGUGAUUCCGUAAGUAGCGGCGAGCGAACGCGGAAGAGCCCAAACCGGAGUGCGUGCACUCCGGGGUUCGGACUGCAGGAUUGACGAGUGAGCCUAGUAGAAUGGUUUUGGGAAAGCCAGCCAGAGAGGGUGAAAGCCCCGUACACGAAAGGCAAGCGAGCAUGGCAGGAUCCAGAGUACCACGAGACACGUGAAACCUUGUGGGAAUGAGCGGGGACCACCCCGUAAGGCUAAAUACUCCUUAGUGACCGAUAGCGCAUAGUACUGUGAAGGAAAGGUGAAAAGGACCCCGGGAGGGGAGUGAAAGAGAACCUGAAACCAUAUGUUUACAAGCUGUGGAACAUCUUUAUAUGAUGAACCGCGUACUUUUUGUAGAACGGUCCGGCGAGUUACGCUGGCUGGCGAGGUUAAGGGCUGAAGGCCUGGAGCCGAAGGGAAACCGAGUCUGAACAGGGCGAAAUAGUCAGUCGGAGUAGACCCGAAACCGGGUGAUCUAUCCAUGUCCAGGUUGAAGUUGCCGUAAAAGGCAAUGGAGGACCGAACCCACAUCCGUUGAAAAGGGUGGGGAUGAGGUGUGGAUAGGGGAGAAAUUCCAAUCGAACCCGGAGAUAGCUGGUUCUCCUCGAAAUAGCUUUAGGGCUAGCCUCAUGCAAGUCUUACGGAGGUAGAGCACUGAAUUCCUAAGGGGGCGUCAAAGCUUACCAAGGGAUAUCAAACUCCGAAUGCCGUGUAGAUGGUGCAUGGGAGUCAGACUAUCCGAGAUAAGUUGGGUAGUCAAAAGGGAAAGAGCCCAGACCUACAGCUAAGGUCCCAAAAUGUGUGUUAAGUGGAAAAGGAUGUGGGAUUUCGAAGACAACUAGGAUGUUGGCUUAGAAGCAGCCAUCCAUUAAAAGAGUGCGUAAUAGCUCACUAGUCGAGAGGUCCUGCGCCGAAAAUGUCCGGGGCUGAAACACACUACCGAAGCUU